RNAcentral lists this ribosomal RNA (1242 nucleotides) under metagenome. Its description in RNAcentral is "bacterial LSU rRNA". It matches the Rfam family "Bacterial large subunit ribosomal RNA", at positions 1564 to 2815 of the family's 2925-position model. The record is from RNAcentral.
UGAAUACGAGACGCUACGGCGUCGAAGCAGUCUAUGUCAUACUUCCAAGAAAAGCUUGCACUGUCAUAAACAAAUAAUGCCUGUACCAUAACCGACACAGGUGGGUAGGUAGAGUAUACUAAGGGGCGCGAGAUAACUCUCUCUAAGGAACUCGGCAAAAUGACUCCGUAACUUCGGGAGAAGGAGUGCCUUAUUUAUGAGGUUGCAAUAACAAGAUCCAAGCAACUGUUUAUCAAAAACACAGGUCUCCGCUAAGUCGUAAGACGAUGUAUGGGGGCUGACGCCUGCCCAGUGCCAGAAGGUUAAAGAAGUUGGUUAGCAUUAGCGAAGCUGAUAACUGAAGCCCUGGUGAACGGCGGCCGUAACUAUAACGGUCCUAAGGUAGCGAAAUUCCUUGUCGGGUAAGUUCCGACCCGCACGAAAGGCGUAAUGAUUUGGAUACUGUCUCAGAGAGGGGCUCGGUGAAAUAGACUUGUCUGUGAAGAUGCGGACUACCUGCACCAGGACAGAAAGACCCUAUGAAGCUUUACUGUAACUUGAAAUUGAAAUUGGACUUUAUUUGCGCAGUAUAGGUGGGAGGCAUUGAUAAUAUUCUUGCGGGAAUGUUGGAGCCAUCAGUGAGAUACCACUCUUGUAAUGUUAGAUUUCUAACUUUGGAUCAUUAUCUGGUCAAAGGACAGUUUCAGGCGGGCAGUUUGACUGGGGCGGUCGCCUCCUAAAUGGUAACGGAGGCGCACAAAGGUUUCCUCUGAACGGGUAGAAAUCGUAUCUAGAGUGUAAAGGCAUAAGGAAGCUUGACUGUGAGACCUACAAGUCGAGCAGGGACGAAAGUCGGUCUUAGUGAUCUGACGGUGCUGAGUGGAAAGGCCGUCACUCAACGGAUAAAAGUUACUCUAAGGAUAACAGGCUGAUCUCCCCCAAGAGUUCACAUCGACGGGGAGGUUUGGCACCUCGAUGUCGGCUCAUCGCAUCCUGGGGCGGUAGUACGUCCCAAGGGUUGGGCUGUUCGCCCAUGAAAGCGGUACGCGAGCUGGGUUCAGAACGUCGUGAGACAGUUCGGUCCAUAUCCGGUGUAGGCGUUAGAAUAUUGAGAGGAGCCUUCUUUAGUACGAGAGGACCGAGAAGGACAUACCUCUGGUGUACCAGUUAUCGUGCCAACGGUAAACGCUGGGUAGCUAUGUAUGGAGAGGAUAACCGCUGAAAGCAUCUAAGUGGGAAGCCCACCUCAAGAUAAGUAUUCUC